This 795-nucleotide unclassified non-coding RNA is filed under the name Hevea brasiliensis (rubber tree). The record is from RNAcentral. Lineage: Eukaryota; Viridiplantae; Streptophyta; Magnoliopsida; Malpighiales; Euphorbiaceae.
AAAUAAAAAAAAAGAAAAAAAAAAUAGGUUACACUGCAUAUAAAAUCAAUAACAAACAACAUUCAAGAGAGAAAACAAGAUAUGAGCAUAUUAUCCAUUCAUCCUAAAUCUGAUUGCCUAAUUUAGAUAACGCAUAUUGGUUACUGCCCUAAAACAAGUUAGACGCUAAAAGUUGAUACUGAAGCCCAUUCUACUCACAAGGAAAAUUGUUAUGAAAUAUCAAACACCAAAACCAACUUCCAAAAAGUAAACAAUAAGACCUCAAACAAUUUCACUCAGAACAUAUCCCAACAGUAUCAAACAAAUUGGAGAGCUCAAGAUUGGGAAUUCAGCCUCUUCUCCAUAUACACUACAUCUCCAUUCAGUGUAAUUUUCCUCUGCAAGGAAGUUCACUAGGCGCCAGUUCCAUCAGAUAUGACUUGGUUUAGCGCCAUAAUCCUUUCUGUGAUCUCAUCGAACAACAAUGCCUUCAAUAACCAAAUAACGUUGUCACUUAAGUACUUUAAGUGUCUUUCAUAUGUUUUUUCAGAUUACAAAAAAUUAUUGAAAUUUCAACAGUAAUCUCAAGCACAAAUACCUGAACCACAACAAAAUACCAUUAAUUGAUGUUUAUAAUUCCUCCAGCACGAUUAAUCAAUCAUUAAACCCUAAUUUUUUAAUAUUCAUUAAACCCUAAUAAAAACUAAAUGAACGAAACAUAAUUAAAGAUGCGAUAACCUCAAAAAACUUCCCGAACCCAGAUCUAGAUAGCACUCUCCACAAACAAAAUAAUCAAUUUCGAAAUAGAUAUGACCA